RNAcentral lists this ribosomal RNA (586 nucleotides) under uncultured bacterium. RNAcentral describes it as "bacterial SSU rRNA". It matches the Rfam family "Bacterial small subunit ribosomal RNA", at positions 254 to 856 of the family's 1533-position model. The record is from RNAcentral.
GGGGUAAUGGCUUACCAAGGCGACGAUCGGUAGGUGGUCUGAGAGGACGAUCACCCAGACUGGGACUGAGACACGGCCCAGACUCCUACGGGAGGCAGCAGUCGGGAAUUUUGCUCAAUGGGGGAAACCCUGAAGCAGCAACGCCGCGUGAGGGAUGAAGGCCUUCGGGUUGUAAACCUCUUUUGUCAGGGACGAUGAUGACGGUACCUGGCGAAUAAGCCACGGCUAACUACGUGCCAGCAGCCGCGGUAAUACGUAGGUGGCAAGCGUUGUCCGGAUUUACUGGGCGUAAAGAGCGCGCAGGCGGUCUUGUAAGUCGAGUGUGAAAGCCCCUGGCUCAACCAGGGAGGGUCAUUCGAUACUGCUUGACUCGAAGGCAGGAGAGGGAAGUGGAAUUCCGGGUGUAGUGGUGAAAUGCGUAGAUAUCCGGAGGAACACCAGUGGCGAAGGCGACUUUCUGGCCUGUUCUUGACGCUGAGGCGCGAAAGCUAGGGGAGCAAACGGGAUUAGAUACCCCGGUAGUCCUAGCCGUAAACGAUGGACACUAGGUGUUGGUGGUAUCAACCCCGCCAGUGCCGUAGCUAAC